CUCAGUAACGGCGAGUGAAGCGGCACAGCUCAAAUUUGAAAUCUGGCCCUUGGGUCCGAGUUGUAAUUUGUAGAGGAUGUUUUGGGUACCGCCGCGGUUUAAAUUUCUUGGAACAGAAUGUCAGAGAGGGUGAGAGUCCCGUCUGGAACUGCGGUAGGGCCUGGGUAAAACUCCUUCGACGAGUCGAGUUGUUUGGGAAUGCAGCUCAAAAUGGGUGGUAAAUUUCAUCUAAAGCUAAAUAUUGGCCAGAGACCGAUAGCGCACAAGUAGAGUGAUCGAAAGAUGAAAAGCACUUUGAAAAGAGAGUUAAACAGUAUGUGAAAUUGUUGAAAGGGAAGCGCUUGCAACCAGACUUGUGUGUGGCGGUUCCCCCUUGCUUCUGCUUGGGCUACUCCGUCAUGUUCAGGCCAACAUCGGUUCCAGGGGUCGGUUAAAGGCCCUGGGAAUGUACCUACCUCCGGGUAGACUUAUAGCCCAGGGUGUCAUGCGGCCUCCCGGGACCGAGGAACACGCUUCGGCGAGGAUGUUGGCGUAAUGGUUGUCAGCGACCCGUCUUGAAACACGGACCAAGGAGUCUAACAUCUAUGCGAGUGUUUGGGUGUCAAACCCGUGCGCGAAAUGAAAGUGAACGGAGGUAGGAAGCCUUUAGGCUGCACUAUCGACCGAUCCUGAUAUUUAUGGAUGGAUUUGAGUAAGAGCAUAGCUGUUGGGACCCGAAAGAUGGUGAACUAUGCCUGAAUAGGGUGAAGCCAGAGGAAACUCUGGUGGAGGCUCGCAGCGGUUCUGACGUGCAAAUCGAUCGUCAAAUUUGGGUAUAGGGUAAGUUGCAAUCACCGAUUCUUGUUGUUGAACAAUCACUAACGAUCAAACAGGGCGAAAGACUAAUCGAACCAUUGCCACGACAAGCACGAAGAAAAACAUAUCGUGCAGUCAGUUACUAGGUGGUUAAGUGUAGCCUAAAAGUGGCUGCAAGUGCCUGAUUCUGGCGCGACACUGCUAAAUUGCGGGGACAUCCUAAAGCUAUUGUUACCAAGCUGACCUCUGAAAGGGGGCGGUGGCCGGGGUAAUGACCUAGGGUAUGGUAAAAACACAAUAGAUGUGACAAUGGACAAUCCGCAGCCAAGUCCUAAGGGCCAAGUGCCUAUGGAUGCAGUUCACAGACUAAAUGGCAGUGGGCUUCAAGGCACCGAACUUGGGGCUUAAGAUAUAGUCGGACCCCGGGGAAAGCCCGGGCGCAUACGCUAAAUCUGUGGUAUAGAAUAACCUCUUGCGGGGGGGAUAUCACAGACCCGAACGGUGCGGGCACUCCUCUCAGGGGAGUGUCGGUCAACGCUGGUAGCUGGUUCCUGCCGAAGUUUCCCUCAGGAUAGCAGUAACGUUUUCAGUUUUAUGAGGUAAAGCGAAUGAUUAGAGGCCUUGGGGUUGAAACAACCUUAACCUAUUCUCAAACUUUAAAUAUGUAAGAAGCCCUUGUUACUUAAUUGAACGUGGGCAUUUGAAUGUAUCGUUACUAGUGGGCCAUUUUUGGUAAGCAGAACUGGCGAUGCGGGAUGAACCGAACGAGAGGUUAAGGUGCCGGAGUGCACGCUCAUCAGACACCACAAAAGGUGUCAAUGCAUCUAGACAGCCGGACGGUGGCCAUGGAAGUCGGAAUCCGCUUAGGAGUGUGUAACAACUCACCGGCCGAAUGCAUUGGCCCUGAAAAUGGAUGGCGCUUAAGCGUGUCACCUAUACCUCUCCGUAGCCGUUUACUGGAAGCGGCUACGAGUAGGCAGGCGUGGAGGUGCGUGA
Molecule: ribosomal RNA, 1791 nt
Rfam family: Eukaryotic large subunit ribosomal RNA